UACAGAGGUCUCAAGCGUUGUUCGGAAUUACUGGGCGUAAAGGGCUCGUAGGCGGCCAACUAAGUCAUACGUGAAAUCCCCCGGCUUAACCGGGGAACUGCGUCUGAUACUGGAUGGCUUGAGUUCGGGAGAGGGAUGCGGAAUUCCAGGUGUAGCGGUGAAAUGCGUAGAUAUCUGGAGGAACACCGGUGGCGAAGGCGGCGUCCUGGACCAACACUGACACUGAUGAGCGAAAGCCAGGGGAGCAAACGGG
This 253-nucleotide ribosomal RNA is filed under the name uncultured bacterium. RNAcentral describes it as "partial 16S ribosomal RNA". It matches the Rfam family "Bacterial small subunit ribosomal RNA", at positions 524 to 776 of the family's 1533-position model. The record is from RNAcentral.